This 254-nucleotide ribosomal RNA is filed under the name uncultured bacterium. Its description in RNAcentral is "partial 16S ribosomal RNA". It matches the Rfam family "Bacterial small subunit ribosomal RNA", at positions 524 to 776 of the family's 1533-position model. The record is from RNAcentral.
GACAGAGGUGCCGAGCGUUAGGCGGAAUCACUGGGCUUAAAGCGUGUGUAGGCGGGCGGGCAAGUACCUUGUGAAAUCCCACGGCUCAACCGUGGAACUGCUGGGUAUACUGCCUGUCUUGAGCCAGCCAGGGGCAGUCGGAACAGACGGUGGAGCGGUGAAAUGCGUAGAUAUCGUCUGGAACGCCAAAGGUGAAAACAGACUGCUGGGGCUGUGCUGACGCUGAGAACACGAAAGCCAGGGGAGCGAACGGG